RNAcentral lists this long non-coding RNA (337 nucleotides) under Homo sapiens (human). RNAcentral's name for it is "long non-coding RNA NONHSAT169796.1". The record is from RNAcentral. Lineage: Eukaryota; Metazoa; Chordata; Mammalia; Primates; Hominidae.
GUCCAGUGUGAGGUGCAGCUGGUGGAGUCUGGGGGAGGCUUGGUACAGCCUGGGGGGUCCCUGAGACUCUCCUGUGCAGCCUCUGGAUUCACCUUUAGCAGCUAUGCCAUGAGCUGGGUCCGCCAGGCUCCAGGGAAGGGGCUGGAGUGGGUCUCAGCUAUUAGUGGUAGUGGUGGUAGCACAUACUACGCAGACUCCGUGAAGGGCCGGUUCACCAUCUCCAGAGACAAUUCCAAGAACACGCUGUAUCUGCAAAUGAACAGCCUGAGAGCCGAGGACACGGCCGUAUAUUACUGUUGACUACUGGGGCCAGGGAACCCUGGUCACCGUCUCCUCA